RNAcentral lists this ribosomal RNA (485 nucleotides) under uncultured bacterium. RNAcentral describes it as "partial 16S ribosomal RNA". It matches the Rfam family "Bacterial small subunit ribosomal RNA", at positions 28 to 523 of the family's 1533-position model. The record is from RNAcentral.
GACGAACGCUGGCGGCGUGCUUAACACAUGCAAGUCGAACGAUGAAGCCGGAGCUUGCUCUGGUGAAUUAGUGGCGAACGGGUGAGUAACACGUGAGUAACCUGCCCUUGACUCUGGGAUAACUGCUAGAAAUGGUAGCUAAUACCGGAUACGACCCUCGGAGGCAUCUCCAGGGGGUGGAAAGAAUUUCGGUCAAGAGAUGGACUCGAGGCCUAUCAGCUAGUUGGGGAGGUAACGGCUCAACAAGGCGACGAUGGGUAGCCGGCCAGAGUGGGUGACCGGCCACACUUGGACUGAGACACGGCCCAGACUCCUACGGGAGGCAGCAGUGGGGAAUAUUGCACAAUGGGCGCAAGCCUGAUGCAGCAACGCCGCGUGAGGGAUGACGGCCUUCGGGUUGUAAACCUCUUUUAGUAGGGAAGAAGCGAGAGUGACGGUACCUGCAGAAAAAGCACCGGCUAACUACGUGCCAGCAGCCGCUGUAA